This 302-nucleotide ribosomal RNA is filed under the name uncultured bacterium. RNAcentral describes it as "partial 16S ribosomal RNA". It matches the Rfam family "Bacterial small subunit ribosomal RNA", at positions 508 to 807 of the family's 1533-position model. The record is from RNAcentral.
GCAGUAGCCGCGGUAAUACGUAGGUGGCAAGCGUUGUCCGGAAUUAUUGGGCGUAAAGGGCUCGCAGGCGGUUUCUUAAGUCUGAUGUGAAAGCCCCCGGCUCAACCGGGGAGGGUCAUUGGAAACUGGGAAACUUGAGUGCAGAAGAGGAGAGUGGAAUUCCACGUGUAGCGGUGAAAUGCGUAGAGAUGUGGAGGAACACCAGUGGCGAAGGCGACUCUCUGGUCUGUAACUGACGCUGAGGAGCGAAAGCGUGGGGAGCGAACAGGAUUAGAUACCCCGGUAGUCCCUGUCUCUUAUAC